RNAcentral lists this ribosomal RNA (495 nucleotides) under uncultured bacterium. RNAcentral's name for it is "partial 16S ribosomal RNA". It matches the Rfam family "Bacterial small subunit ribosomal RNA", at positions 28 to 507 of the family's 1533-position model. The record is from RNAcentral.
GACGAACGCUGGCGGCGUGCCUAAUACAUGCAAGUAGAACGCUGAAGGAGGAGCUUGCUUCUCUGGAUGAGUUGCGAACGGGUGAGUAACGCGUAGGUAACCUGCCUGGUAGCGGGGGAUAACUAUUGGAAACGAUAGCUAAUACCGCAUAAGAGUAGAUGUCGCAUGACAUUUGCUUAAAAGGUGCAAUUGCAUCACUACCAGAUGGACCUGCGUUGUAUUAGCUAGUUGGUGAGGUAACGGCUCACCAAGGCAACGAUACAUAGCCGACCUGAGAGGGUGAUCGGCCACACUGGGACUGAGACACGGCCCAGACUCCUACGGGAGGCAGCAGUAGGGAAUCUUCGGCAAUGGACGGAAGUCUGACCGAGCAACGCCGCGUGAGUGAAGAAGGUUUUCGGAUCGUAAAGCUCUGUUGUAAGGGAAGAACGAGUGUGAGAGUGGAAAGUUCACACUGUGACGGUAUCUUACCAGAAAGGGACGGCUAACUACGUG